This is a long non-coding RNA of Dendroctonus ponderosae (mountain pine beetle), 373 nucleotides long. RefSeq lists it as uncharacterized. The transcript has 2 exons. The record is from RefSeq and is a predicted model, not a curated record. Lineage: Eukaryota; Metazoa; Arthropoda; Insecta; Coleoptera; Curculionidae.
CUUUGAUCAAAUUUCCAUUUGACUAGUUUACAUAUGUAGACCCUACGUUCAUCUACGUAUUAAAUCUUGUAAUACUUAUACAAUUGGUUCAGAAUGUCACAUUUUUGCAGUGUCAUUACAUGCUCAAUGCGUGCUGAACGAGAUCCGGUUUGUUUUUUUUUUUCGAUUUAGCGAGACAAAUAGAAGAGAGGUAUCAUUUGAAUGAUUUUUCUAGUGAACGUCGAAAUGCUUGUGUUAAGGCUUUAAAACGGGUGCCUCUAAGUGAAAUCUAUAUGAGAAAUGAUCGUAUUUGCUUAAAACAUUUCAUAAUGAAAAACCAGCUGCCUUGGAAGACAAAACUAAUCCAGGUGUGAUGCCCAACGAAAAUUUAGGA